Cannabis sativa is the source of this 1561-nucleotide long non-coding RNA. RefSeq lists it as uncharacterized. The record is from RefSeq and is a predicted model, not a curated record. NCBI's taxonomy places the organism in Eukaryota, Viridiplantae, Streptophyta, Magnoliopsida, Rosales, Cannabaceae. The transcript has 3 exons.
GAGUCAGUGCUUCUGGGCCGCGAGGCAAACGCGCUGAUUACGCCUCACAUACUUAGAUAUGUGGAAGACCUCGAGUUCUUCUUCCGGAUUCCUUGGGGGAAGCACUCAUUCGCCAGACUCAUGCACUCGCUUCAAAAAGACAUGUUGAAAUAGAAGGCCAACUACGAGAAGAAGCUGAGUUCGGAUGUUCAGCACGAGUGCAAAUACACAGCAUAUGGCUUCGCACCUGCAGUACAAUAUUGGGCGUACGAGGCCAUUUUGGAGGUUGGGAAGAGGUAUGGCACGAAUCACGGGAUUCGGUUCCCCAGGAUGCUUAGCUGGACGAGCAAAGGCGAUAUUGGGAAGAAAGACGUCAGCGCAUUAUUUUCUAGACGGGUAUGAUUUUCACUUAUGUUCAGAAUAAUUAUUUAACAUAAAUGCUUGUAAUAAAUGCUAAAUGGUUCUAUUUUGAUAUUUUUUGAACCAUAAACAGAAUCUUGAAGUGGUGAAGGGGCUACUUCCACGGACAGAGGAGGAGGCAUUUGUGAGGACCAUAUCUUACGAUGGUGUGGAGAACCUGGUUGAUGAUGGUGUGGAUGACACAGAGGUUGAGGCAGGUAGUCAGGUACCAGAGACUCAGGUCCCAGACACUCAGGAAACAGACACUCAGGCCACUGGUUUAGAACCUCAGCCCAGUGCACCAUCUUCAUCAGGCGUUCGGGGUGCCGAGUACACUGAUUUAGUGGCGAGGUUGGAUAGGAUUGAGGCUGACACUAAGGGUCUGUAUGCUGCUCAUGUUGAGCUGAAGAAGGCAUACGAGACCAGCCAUGUAGAGCUGAAGGGUGGUUAGAACGUAAUUAUGGAGCAGCUCAGAGACAUAUUGGCCAUGUUGAAUCGUCCGCCAACGACAGCUUCAGCACCGGAGGCCCCAGCAGAUCCAUCUACCCCACCACCAACUGCUUCACCCCCAGUAGAAGAGGAGGAGGUCUUCCCCGACGGGUACGAUCCUUAUGAGGGAGCUCCAGCGACUCCGAUCGAUACAGGUGUUAUCCAUGUACAUGACACCGAGUCGCAGGGUGAGAUUCUGUCGAUAGAGGCACAACCUGCAGUGGUUAAGAGUCGGAAGAGGAAGAGAAAUCCUCCUGUAUGGUUCGGUGACUACACGGAGAUGAAGAGGAGACAUAGGCCAUCUUCGACGUUUGAUCCCCUGGAGCCACCAGAUGAGAAAUUGUUAACCACUUUCUGAAAGUGGUGUGUUGGACUCAUUCCGAACCACCGACUUCGGGAUUUGAGAAGUGGUGAUUACGGUCCAUCAUUCUUUUGGAUAAUGCUCACACCAAAGGAAUGGCUUACAGAUGACCAUAUAGAUGCAGCAAUGCAUAUGCUGAGGAGGCGACGCACCGACUAUCCACUGACAUUUCCUCAGAAGGGUGUCAUUCUCUCCACAUUCGUCACCACCAUGAUCAGCAGUGCAUGGACGAACCACAAGGGUCCGAGGAGAAACUUUGUGUGGGAGGAUUAUAUCCUGGACUACUGCAGAGGGGUUCAUAAGGUAUUGUUUUAGUAAGAUUUUAAAUGUUGA